RNAcentral lists this ribosomal RNA (488 nucleotides) under uncultured bacterium. RNAcentral's name for it is "partial 16S ribosomal RNA". It matches the Rfam family "Bacterial small subunit ribosomal RNA", at positions 29 to 523 of the family's 1533-position model. The record is from RNAcentral.
AGCGAACGCUGGCGGCAGGCCUAACACAUGCAAGUCGAACGGACCUUUCGGGGUUAGUGGCGGACGGGUGAGUAAAGCAUCGGAACGUGCCCAGUAGUGGGGGAUAGCCCGGCGAAAGCCGGAUUAAUACCGCAUGAGACCUACGGGUGAAAGGGGGGGAUCGCAAGACCUCUCGCUAUUGGAGCGGCCGAUGUCAGAUUAGGUAGUUGGUGGGGUAAGGGCCUACCAAGCCGACGAUCUGUAGCUGGUCUGAGAGGACGACCAGCCACACUGGGACUGAGACACGGCCCAGACUCCUACGGGAGGCAGCAGUGGGGAAUUUUGGACAAUGGGCGAAAGCCUGAUCCAGCCAUGCCGCGUGCGGGAAGAAGGCCUUCGGGUUGUAAACCGCUUUUGUCAGGGAAGAAAUCCUUUGAGUUAAUACCUCGGGGGGAUGACGGUACCUGAAGAAUAAGCACCGGCUAACUACGUGCCAGCCGCCGCAGUAA